AAUAAUUGGGAAUAUGGCUUGGAGUUUAUAUCUCAAUUUUGAAGGAUUUUGGUGAAUAUUAGACUUGGUUUUUGCUGAUUUUCAAAUUGAAACUCGAAGACAUGACAUACAUUAUAUUACUGUAAUUGUAGAAAUAUUGUAGAAAAAUUUUAGACUGUUGUUUAUUUAUUUUUGAGCUGUAGUAUUUUUGUGUUAAAAGUUUUGAUGGGAG
RNAcentral lists this long non-coding RNA (211 nucleotides) under Nicotiana benthamiana. Its description in RNAcentral is "long non-coding RNA (NBEN_LNC029862)". Lineage: Eukaryota; Viridiplantae; Streptophyta; Magnoliopsida; Solanales; Solanaceae. The record is from RNAcentral.